UGUUUAGAUAAAAAUAUGCAUUAUUUCAAUUUCUUUUCUUCCAUUCAUUAUAUGUGGAUAACAAGCCUUUUAUUUCCUGCUAUUGGAUGGACUUAUAGCAGAUCCACAGUCUUCAUAUAUUAAUGGUGCAAAUUGUGGAGUUAAAGCAUGUUAAUUGUCAAGUGGGUAGGCUUUCACAGCCGAAAUUUAAGCAGCAUGAUGCAGUUGAGAGAUAUGUGAUAGAGCAUUGACGUAACUAUAAUGGAGUUAAAUCAAAUUACUAACACCUUCACUCGCUUUCAAUCAAACACUAUCAUCUCUGAUAGUGAUAUAUAAGAUGUGCACAAUCUUCCCUAUCUUCUCUUUUAUGCUAAUAAUUCUUUUUUUUGUUCUUGCAUACUAUUAGCACGUUUUAUUAACAGGACAUUGUAGUGCUUUCUUCCACAGAUUGAUCAAUGAAUGAUUAA
Lupinus albus (white lupine) is the source of this 446-nucleotide non-coding RNA. The record is from the annotation of a GenBank genome assembly. Lineage: Eukaryota; Viridiplantae; Streptophyta; Magnoliopsida; Fabales; Fabaceae.